RNAcentral lists this non-coding RNA (150 nucleotides) under uncultured Catenovulum sp. Lineage: Bacteria; Pseudomonadati; Pseudomonadota; Gammaproteobacteria; Alteromonadales; Alteromonadaceae. The record is from RNAcentral.
UGGCAUAAAAAUUAAACGGGAAACAGGUGAAAAACCUGUACUGCCCCCGCAACGGUAACUGUGAACCGCAACUUAUAACCACUGUGUAUUAGCAUGGGAAGGUGUUGUCAGGUAAUGAUCAGGAGUCCGGAGACCGGCCUGAUUAAGUUA